CACAAACCAUGAAGUAAAUAUGUUGGUAACUAUCCAUGCAACAGUUACUCUGUAACUGGAGAAUGUUGACUUCAGACUAGUUCAUACUCUUCUAUCAACAGAACAGAAACUGACAAGGAAUAUUAGUCAGCAGUUCUCAUGAAGGAACUGGCUCUGCCUGUAAGAUCAAGGGAAUCUUGCAAACAUUUUCAUGAGCAAAACAGAACACAGGGUCCAGGUUACAAAAUAGAACAGUGUGAUCCCACAGGGAGAGCUGCAAUGCUGAUAAGCACCGUCUACCUUCCAGCAGACCUUUGGCUGUGA
This 303-nucleotide long non-coding RNA is filed under the name Mus musculus (house mouse). RNAcentral describes it as "predicted gene, 48227". Lineage: Eukaryota; Metazoa; Chordata; Mammalia; Rodentia; Muridae. The record is from RNAcentral.